UGACCAUAUCACGUUCAAACACCUUUUCACGUACUCCCAUCGAAGUUAAACAACAUUGCGCCUUGUCAGUACAUAGAUGGGUGACCGCUUGGGAAUACCACGUGUCGUAAG
Molecule: non-coding RNA, 111 nt
Organism: Acanthosepion pharaonis
Lineage: Eukaryota; Metazoa; Mollusca; Cephalopoda; Sepiida; Sepiidae
Source: the annotation of a GenBank genome assembly